UAGAGUUUGAUCCUGGCUCAGAUUGAACGCUGGCGGUAUGCUUAACACAUGCAAGUCGAACGGAAACGAUACUAGCUUGCUAGUAGGCGUCGAGUGGCGGACGGGUGAGUAACGCGUAGGAAUCUACCAGAUAGUGGGGGAUAGCCCGGAGAAAUUCGGAUUAAUACCGCAUAAUCUCUACGGAGUAAAGGAGGCCUCUAUUUAUAUGCUUUCGCUAUCUGAUGAGCCUGCGUAAGAUUAGCUAGUUGGUGAGGUAAAAGCUCACCAAGGCAACGAUCUUUAGCUGGUCUGAGAGGAUGAUCAGCCACACUGGGACUGAGACACGGCCCAGACUCCUACGGGAGGCAGCAGUGGGGAAUAUUGGACAAUGGGGGCAACCCUGAUCCAGCAAUACCGCGUGUGUGAAGAAGGCCUGAGGGUUGUAAAGCACUUUCAAUUGUGAA
Molecule: ribosomal RNA, 443 nt
Filed under: uncultured marine bacterium
Lineage: Bacteria
Description: bacterial SSU rRNA
Rfam family: Bacterial small subunit ribosomal RNA
Source: RNAcentral